AGAUAUUUCAUCAUAUUUUUUAAAACUUCAAUAUUCACAUUUAUUUUGAAAAGUAUUGUUUUUUAAAGGAUGCCGUAGGAGCAAUCGAUGAUACACAUAUAGCUGCGUAUGUGCCUUUAGAGGAGCAAGGGAUCUGCACAUGAUGGUCGAUUGUUACGGAGUGCAAUAUUACGCCAAGGACAUAAGCUAACAAUUCCUGUUGGUAAAUAUUACCUUGUUGACGCUGGCUUCCCAUCGGUUUCGGGUUUUCUUGCACCAUACC
Long non-coding RNA from Olea europaea var. sylvestris, 262 nucleotides. RefSeq lists it as uncharacterized. Lineage: Eukaryota; Viridiplantae; Streptophyta; Magnoliopsida; Lamiales; Oleaceae. The transcript is spliced from 3 exons. The record is from RefSeq and is a predicted model, not a curated record.